AGAACAUGUUCGGAGGGUAUUGCCUAGUCAGUAGCUUGAAUCUCUCCCAAGCUUCAUAAAGGGUCUCACCAUCUUUCUGUCUGAAAGUCUGAACCUCCACCCUCAGCUU
Small nucleolar RNA from Arachis duranensis, 109 nucleotides. The record is from RefSeq and is a predicted model, not a curated record. NCBI's taxonomy places the organism in Eukaryota, Viridiplantae, Streptophyta, Magnoliopsida, Fabales, Fabaceae.